ACGCACGCUGGCGGCGUGCUUAACACAUGCAAGUCGAACGGAAAGGCCUUUUCGGAGGUACUCGAGUGGCGAACGGGUGAGUAACACGUGGGUGAUCUGCCCUGCACUCUGGGAUAAGCCUGGGAAACUGGGUCUAAUACCGGAUAGGACCGCACUUUAGUGUGUGUGGUGGAAAGUUUUUUCGGUGUAGGAUGAGCCCGCGGCCUAUCAGCUUGUUGGUGGGGUAAUGGCCUACCAAGGCGGCGACGGGUAGCCGGACUGAGAGGUUGGUCGGCCACAUUGGGACUGAGAUACGGCCCAGACUCCUACGGGAGGCAGCAGUGGGGAAUAUUGCACAAUGGGCGCAAGCCUGAUGCAGCGACGCCGCGUGGGGGAUGACGGCCUUCGGGUUGUAAACUCCUUUCGCCAGGGACGAAGCGUUUUGUGACGGUACCUGGAGAAGAAGCACCGGCUAACUACGUG
This 462-nucleotide ribosomal RNA is filed under the name uncultured bacterium. RNAcentral's name for it is "partial 16S ribosomal RNA". It matches the Rfam family "Bacterial small subunit ribosomal RNA", at positions 29 to 507 of the family's 1533-position model. The record is from RNAcentral.